This 427-nucleotide ribosomal RNA is filed under the name uncultured bacterium. RNAcentral's name for it is "bacterial SSU rRNA". It matches the Rfam family "Bacterial small subunit ribosomal RNA", at positions 355 to 774 of the family's 1533-position model. The record is from RNAcentral.
UGGGGAAUUUUGGACAAUGGACGCAAGUCUGAUCCAGCCAUGCCGCGUGCGGGAAGAAGGCCUUCGGGUUGUAAACCGCUUUUGUCAGGGAAGAAACGAGUUUCACUAAUACAGAGACUUAAUGACGGUAACUGAAGAAUAAGCACCGACCAAUUACCUGCCAGCAGCCGCGGUAAUACGUAGGGUGCAAGCGUUAAUCGGAAUUACUGGGCGUAAAGCGUGCGCAGGUGGUUAUGCAAGACAGAGGUGAAAGCCCCGGGCUCAACCUAGGAACUGCCUUUAUGACUGCAUAGCUAGAGUACGGUAGAGGGGGAUGGAAUUCCGCGUGUAGCGGUGCAAUGCGUAGAUAUGCGGAGGAACACCGAUGGCGAAGGCAAUCCCCUGGACCUAUACUGACGCUCAUGCACGAAAGCGUGGGGAGCAAACA